This 81-nucleotide transfer RNA is filed under the name Kofleriaceae bacterium. RNAcentral's name for it is "tRNA-Leu". It matches the Rfam family "tRNA". Rfam says of the family: Transfer RNA (tRNA) molecules are approximately 80 nucleotides in length. Their secondary structure includes four short double-helical elements and three loops (D, anti-codon, and T loops). Lineage: Bacteria; Pseudomonadati; Myxococcota; Haliangiales; Kofleriaceae. The record is from RNAcentral.
GGGGCAGUGGCGAAAUGGCAGACGCACGGGACUUAAAAUCCCAGGCCGCGAGGUGUGCGGGUUCGAGUCCCGCCUGCCCCA